UAGGGAAUCUUCCACAAUGGGCGCAAGCCUGAUGGAGCAACGCCGCGUGUGUGAUGAAGGGUUUCGGCGUCGUAAAACACUGUUGUAGAGAAGAAUGACAUUGAGAGUAACUGUUCAAUGUGUGACGGUAUCUUACCAGAAAGGAACGGCUAAAUACGUGCGAG
RNAcentral lists this ribosomal RNA (164 nucleotides) under uncultured bacterium. RNAcentral's name for it is "partial 16S rRNA". It matches the Rfam family "Bacterial small subunit ribosomal RNA", at positions 355 to 511 of the family's 1533-position model. The record is from RNAcentral.